GUAGUAUUCUUUCCGUCCGAAAAUACUUGUCGUAGAAAUGGAGAAAAAUGAAUGUAUUUAAAAUUAAAAUACAUCUAGAUACAUCCAUUCCUCGGACAAGUAUUUUCGGACGGAGGGAGAUUGAU
Molecule: non-coding RNA, 125 nt
Organism: Triticum aestivum (bread wheat)
Lineage: Eukaryota; Viridiplantae; Streptophyta; Magnoliopsida; Poales; Poaceae
Source: Rfam